RNAcentral lists this small RNA (507 nucleotides) under Pongo abelii (Sumatran orangutan). Its description in RNAcentral is "retained intron". Lineage: Eukaryota; Metazoa; Chordata; Mammalia; Primates; Hominidae. The record is from RNAcentral.
GUUGGCCUCAAACUGUGAUCACCCACACACCCACUUUCUGUUGGAUGGCUCUAAGAGGAGCUCUACUGGAUUCCUAAACAGGAGACUCACCCCCUCCCCUGGCCCUGGGCAGAGGGAGAACCUGGGCCCUGGGUCAGUGGCCCCAGCGCAAUGUCUGCCUCCCACAGGCUGCCACACCCUGUACCUGAGCUCAGUGAGCGUGGAGACCCUGACCGGAACCCUCGCCGUGCAGAAGGCCAUCUCCACCACCUUUGAGAGGGACGUCCUCCCCACACCCACCGUGGUCCACUUCAAAGUCACAGAGCAGGGCAUCACCCUGACUGAUGUCCAGAGGAAGAUGUUUUUCCGGCGCCAUUACCCACUCACCACCCUCCGCUUCUGUGGUAUGGACCCUGAGCAACGGAAGUGGCAGAAGUACUGCAAACCCUCCUGGUAAGGCCUUCCUGUCUCAGGGCCCCAAACCCAACAUGGGGAGGGAACUGCAGAAGGAAAGAGGCACCAUUCUGA